GAUGAACGCUGGCGGCGCGCCUAACACAUGCAAGUCGAACGAUUAAAGCACCUUCGGGUGUGUAUAAAGUGGCGAACGGCUGAGUAACACGUGGGCAACCUGCCCCUUUCAUUGGGAUAGCCACGGGAAACCGUGGAUAAUACCGAAUACUUCGAGACUUCCGCAUGGAAGACUCGAGAAAGCUCCGGCGGAGAGGGAUGGGCCCGCGGCCUGUUAGCUUGUCGGUGGGGUAACGGCCUACCAAGGCAAUGAUGGGUAGCUGGGUUGAGAGACCGACCAGCCAGAUUGGGACUGAGAAACGGCCCAGACUCCUACGGGAGGCAGCAGUGGGGAAUCUUGCACAAUGGGCGAAAGCCUGAUGCAGCGACGCCGCGUGCGGGAUGAAGGCCUUCGGGUUGUAAACCGCUUUCAGCAGGGACGAGGCGAAAGUGACGGUACCUGCAGAAGAAGCCCCGGCUAACUACGUG
RNAcentral lists this ribosomal RNA (467 nucleotides) under uncultured bacterium. RNAcentral describes it as "partial 16S ribosomal RNA". It matches the Rfam family "Bacterial small subunit ribosomal RNA", at positions 28 to 507 of the family's 1533-position model. The record is from RNAcentral.